CGAACGGUGAGAGGAGCUUGCUCCUUGGAUCAGUGGCGAACGGGUGAGUAACACGUGAGCAAUCUGCCCUUGACUCUGGGAUAACUGCGGGAAACUGUAGCUAAUACCGGAUAUUACCUUGGAAGGCAUCUUCUGGGGUGGAAAGAAUUUUGGUCAAGGAUGAGCUCGCGGCCUAUCAGCUAGUUGGUGAGGUAAUGGCUCACCAAGGCGACGACGGGUAGCCGGCCUGAGAGGGUGACCGGCCACACUGGGACUGAGACACGGCCCAGACUCCUACGGGAGGCAGCAGUGGGGAAUAUUGCACAAUGGGCGCAAGCCUGAUGCAGCAACGCCGCGUGAGGGACGACGGCCUUCGGGUUGUAAACCUCUUUUAGUAGGGAAGAAGCGACUGGGUUUUCCUGGGAGUGACGGUACCUGCAGAAAAAGCACCGGCUAACUACGUGCCAGCAGCCGCGGUAAUACGUAGGGUGCAAGCGUUGUCCGGAAUUAUUGGGCGUAAAGAGCUCGUAGGCGGUUUGUCGCGUCUGCUGUGAAAACCCGAGGCUCAACCUCGGGCCUGCAGUGGGUACGGGCAGACUAGAGUGCGGUAGGGGAGAUUGGAAUUCCUGGUGUAGCGGUGGAAUGCGCAGAUAUCAGGAGGAACACCAAUGGCGAAGGCAGAUCUCUGGGCCGUAACUGACGCUGAGGAGC
RNAcentral lists this ribosomal RNA (690 nucleotides) under Cryobacterium sp. Y4_354. Its description in RNAcentral is "bacterial SSU rRNA". It matches the Rfam family "Bacterial small subunit ribosomal RNA", at positions 63 to 754 of the family's 1533-position model. Lineage: Bacteria; Bacillati; Actinomycetota; Actinomycetes; Micrococcales; Microbacteriaceae. The record is from RNAcentral.